AAUCCUUGCAUCGGGCACUUUUGUAGUAACUCCUUGAAACACUCCCAAGCUUCAUGUGGAUUUUUGUCUUCAAGUUGCUUGAAAUAGGUAAGGUCAUUCCUAAGCUU
Small nucleolar RNA from Hibiscus syriacus, 107 nucleotides. The record is from RefSeq and is a predicted model, not a curated record. NCBI's taxonomy places the organism in Eukaryota, Viridiplantae, Streptophyta, Magnoliopsida, Malvales, Malvaceae.